AGAGUUUGAUCCUGGCUCAGAAUGAACGCUGGCGGCGUGCCUAAUACAUGCAAGUCGAACGAGAUGUUUACAUCGAGGGGCGAACGGGUGAAUAAUACAUAAGUAACCUACCCUAAACUGGGGGAUAACUAUUGGAAACGAUAGCUAACACCGCAUAGGUAUACAGUACCCAUGUACCGUAUAUUAAAAAUGCUUUCGGGCAUUGGUAAAGGAUGGACUUAUGGCGCAUUAGCUAGUUGGGAGGGUAACGGCCUACCAAGGCGACGAUGCGUAUCCGACCUGAGAGGGUGACCGGCCACACUGGGACUGAAACACGGCCCAGACUCCUACGGGAGGCAGCAGUAGGGAAUUUUCGGCAAUGGGGGAAACCCUGACCGAGCAACGCCGCGUGAAGGAAGAAGGUCUUCGGAUUGUAAACUUCUGUUAUAAAGGAAGAAUGAGAUAUGCAGGAAAUGGUAUAUCAGUGACGGUACUUUAUGAGGAAGCCACGGCUAACUACGUGCCAGCAGCCGCGGUAAUACGUAGGUGGCAAGCGUUAUCCGGAAUUAUUGGGCGUAAAGAGGGAGCAGGCGGCUAUAAAGGUCUGUGGUGAAAGACUGAAGCUCAACUUCAGUAAGCCAUGGAAACCAAAUAGCUAGAGUGCAUUAGAGGAUCGUGGAAUUCCAUGUGUAGCGGUGAAAUGCGUAGAUAUAUGGAGGAACACCAGUGGCGAAGGCGACGAUCUGGGAUGUAACAGACGCUGAGUCCCGAAAGCGUGGGGAGCAAAUAGGAUUAGAUACCGUAGUAGUCCACGCCGUAAACGAUGAGUAGUAAGUGUUGGGAGUCAAAUCUCAGUGCUGCAGUUAACGCAAUAAGUACUCCGCCUGAGUAGUACGUUCGCAAGAAUGAAACUCAAAGGAAUUGACGGGGGCCCGCACAAGCGGUGGAGCAUGUGGUUUAAUUCGAAGCAACGCGAAGAACCUUACCAGGUCUUGACAUACGGAUAAAGGCUGCAGAGAUGCGGAGAUAGUUAUAUCCGAUACAGCUGGUGCAUGGUGGUCGUCAUCUCGUGUCGUGAGAUGAUGGGUUAAGUCCCGCAACGAGCGCAACCCUUAUCGUUAGUUACCAUCAUUAAGUUGGGGACUCUAUCGAGAGUGCCAGUGACAAAUUGGAGGAAGGCGGGGAGGACGUCAAAUCAUCAUUCCCGUUAUGACCUGGCAUACACACGUGCUACAAUCACGGAGCAGAGGGAAGGGAACCUGUGAAGGCAAGCAAAACCCAGAAAACCGUUCUCAGUUAGGAUGGUAGUGUGCAACUAGAUUACAUGAAGUUGGAAUCGAUAGUAAUCGCGAAUCAGAAUGUCGCGGUGAAUACGUUAUCGGGCCUUGUACACACCGCCCGUCACACCAUGAGAGUUGAUAACACCCGAAGCCGGUGGCUUAACCUGUUUUCAGGAAGGAGCUGUCUAAGGUGGGAUUGAUGAUUAGGGUGAAGUCGUAACAAGGUAACC
Molecule: ribosomal RNA, 1489 nt
Filed under: uncultured Clostridium sp.
Lineage: Bacteria; Bacillati; Bacillota; Clostridia; Eubacteriales; Clostridiaceae
Description: bacterial SSU rRNA
Rfam family: Bacterial small subunit ribosomal RNA
Source: RNAcentral